AGUAACGCGUGGUCAACCUACCCGUUGAGUGGGGGAGUAACUAGCCGAAAGGUUAGCUAAUACCGCAUACGUCUCCGAGUGGCAUCACUUGGCGAUAAAAGGAGCAAUCCGCUCGAUGACGGGACCGCGUCCCAUUAGCUAGAUGGUGGGGUAACGGCCUACCAUGGCACCGAUGGGUAGCUGGUUUGAGAGAGCGACCAGCCACACUGGGACUGAGAAACGGCCCAG
Molecule: ribosomal RNA, 228 nt
Filed under: uncultured bacterium
Lineage: Bacteria
Description: partial 16S ribosomal RNA
Rfam family: Bacterial small subunit ribosomal RNA
Source: RNAcentral